This 1355-nucleotide ribosomal RNA is filed under the name uncultured bacterium. Its description in RNAcentral is "bacterial SSU rRNA". It matches the Rfam family "Bacterial small subunit ribosomal RNA", at positions 28 to 1381 of the family's 1533-position model. The record is from RNAcentral.
AUUGAACGCUGGCGGCAGGCUUAACACAUGCAAGUCGAACGAUGAUUUCCCAGCUUGCUGGGAAUGAUUAGUGGCGGACGGGUGAGUAACAUUUAGGAAUCUGCCUAGUAGUGGGGGAUAGCUCGGGGAAACUCGAAUUAAUACCGCAUACGACCUACGGGUGAAAGGGGGCGCAAGCUCUUGCUAUUAGAUGAGCCUAAAUCAGAUUAGCUAGUUGGUGGGGUAAAGGCCCACCAAGGCGACGAUCUGUAACUGGUCUGAGAGGAUGAUCAGUCACACCGGAACUGAGACACGGUCCGGACUCCUACGGGAGGCAGCAGUGGGGAAUAUUGGACAAUGGGGGCAACCCUGAUCCAGCCAUGCCGCGUGUGUGAAGAAGGCCUUUUGGUUGUAAAGCACUUUAAGCAGGGAGGAGAGGCUAAUGGUUAAUACCCAUUAGAUUAGACGUUACCUGCAGAAUAAGCACCGGCUAACUCUGUGCCAGCAGCCGCGGUAAUACAGAGGGUGCGAGCGUUAAUCGGAAUUACUGGGCGUAAAGCGAGUGUAGGUGGCUCAUUAAGUCACAUGUGAAAUCCCCGGGCUUAACCUGGGAACUGCAUGUGAUACUGGUGGUGCUAGAAUAUGUGAGAGGGAAGUAGAAUUCCAGGUGUAGCGGUGAAAUGCGUAGAGAUCUGGAGGAAUACCGAUGGCGAAGGCAGCUUCCUGGCAUAAUAUUGACACUGAGAUUCGAAAGCGUGGGUAGCAAACAGGAUUAGAUACCCUGGUAGUCCACGCCGUAAACGAUGUCUACUAGCCGUUGGGGUCCUUGAGACUUUAGUGGCGCAGUUAACGCGAUAAGUAGACCGCCUGGGGAGUACGGCCGCAAGGUUAAAACUCAAAUGAAUUGACGGGGGCCCGCACAAGCGGUGGAGCAUGUGGUUUAAUUCGAUGCAACGCGAAGAACCUUACCUGGUCUUGACAUAGUGAGAAUCUCUCAGAGAUGAGAGAGUGCCUUCGGGAAUUCACAUACAGGUGCUGCAUGGCUGUCGUCAGCUCGUGUCGUGAGAUGUUGGGUUAAGUCCCGCAACGAGCGCAACCCUUUUCCUUAUUUGCCAGCGGGUUAAGCCGGGAACUUUAAGGAUACUGCCAGUGACAAACUGGAGGAAGGCGGGGACGACGUCAAGUCAUCAUGGCCCUUACGACCAGGGCUACACACGUGCUACAAUGGUAGGUACAGAGGGUUGCUACACAGCGAUGUGAUGCUAAUCUCAAAAAGCCUAUCGUAGUCCGGAUUGGAGUCUGCAACUCGACUCCAUGAAGUCGGAAUCGCUAGUAAUCGUAGAUCAGAAUGCUGCGGUGAAUACGUUCCCGGGCCU